RNAcentral lists this ribosomal RNA (441 nucleotides) under uncultured bacterium. RNAcentral's name for it is "SSU rRNA". It matches the Rfam family "Bacterial small subunit ribosomal RNA", at positions 26 to 518 of the family's 1533-position model. The record is from RNAcentral.
AGAGCGAACGCUGGCGGCAGGCCUAACACAUGCAAGUCGAGCGCCCCGCAAGGGGAGCGGCAGACGGGAGAGUAACACGUGGGAACGUGCCCUUUGGUUCGGAACAACACAGGGAAACUUGUGCUAAUACCGGAUAAGCCCUUACGGGGAAAGAUUUAUUGCCAAAGGAUCGGCCCGCGUCUGAUUAGCUUGUUGGUGAGGUAACGGCUCACCAAGGCUACGAUCAGUAGCUGGUCUGAGAGGAUGAUCAGCCUCACUGGGACUGAGACACGGCCCAGACUCCUACGGGAGGCAGCAGUGGGAAUAUGGACAAUGGGCGCAAGCCUGAUCCAGCCAUGCCGCGUGGAUGAUGAAGGCCUUAGGGUUGUAAAGUCCUUUCGGCGGGGAAGAUAAUGACGGUACCCGCAGAAGAAGCCCGGCUAACUUCGCGCCAGUAGCCGC